Molecule: small nuclear RNA, 107 nt
Organism: Phyllostomus discolor (pale spear-nosed bat)
Lineage: Eukaryota; Metazoa; Chordata; Mammalia; Chiroptera; Phyllostomidae
Source: RefSeq, a predicted model, not a curated record
GUGUUUGCUUUGACAGCACAUAUACUAAAACUGUAAUGAUACAGAAAAGAUUAGCAUGGCCCCUGUGCAAGGAUGAUGCCCAAAAUUGUGAAAUGUUCCAUAUUUUU